Molecule: ribosomal RNA, 209 nt
Filed under: uncultured bacterium
Lineage: Bacteria
Description: partial 16S ribosomal RNA
Rfam family: Bacterial small subunit ribosomal RNA
Source: RNAcentral
GUUCGGAUUGUAGGCUGCAACUCGCCUACAUGAAGUCGGAAUUGCUAGUAAUCGCGGAUCAGCAUGCCGCGGUGAAUACGUUCCCGGGCCUUGUACACACCGCCCGUCACACCAUGGGAGUCGGUAACACCGAAGCCUGUAGUCUAACCGCAAGGAGGACGCAGUCGAAGGUGGGAUUGAUGACUGGGGUGAAGUCGUAACAAGGUACC